Non-coding RNA from Pelobates cultripes (western spadefoot toad), 237 nucleotides. The record is from the annotation of a GenBank genome assembly. NCBI's taxonomy places the organism in Eukaryota, Metazoa, Chordata, Amphibia, Anura, Pelobatidae.
GCAGGCGGAUUGCUUUUUCUCUCAUAUUGUGAUUGCCUUGCAACCUAGCCAUGAAAACAUCUCAAAUAUUUAAUCAUCUGUAACUUUGUGCAGGAUUAUUUGAAGCCGACUUUGUAACAGAACCAAUUAAGGGGAAAAAAUAAGUGUUAAGAGGUUUGUUUGUUUUAACUAUAUCCAGAAAUAGGAUUCCUUGUAACUGCCAAGGAAAUAAUCACAUUAAAAACAAAACAUUCUCUU